GAAAAUAGCUCAGUGGUAGAGUAUCGGUCUUUUAACUCAAAGGUCGCCGGUUCGAUCCCCUCGCG
Molecule: non-coding RNA, 65 nt
Organism: Aphanomyces astaci
Lineage: Eukaryota; Oomycota; Saprolegniomycetes; Saprolegniales; Verrucalvaceae
Source: the annotation of a RefSeq genome assembly